Molecule: non-coding RNA, 73 nt
Organism: Dreissena polymorpha
Lineage: Eukaryota; Metazoa; Mollusca; Bivalvia; Myida; Dreissenidae
Source: the annotation of a RefSeq genome assembly
GUCCCCGUAGCGCAGUUGAUUGCGCGCUGGACUUCUAAUCCAGAGGAUGCGGGUUGGAAUCCCGCCGGGGAUG